Molecule: ribosomal RNA, 557 nt
Filed under: Brasilotyphlus guarantanus
Lineage: Eukaryota; Metazoa; Chordata; Amphibia; Gymnophiona; Siphonopidae
Description: partial 16S ribosomal RNA
Rfam family: Bacterial large subunit ribosomal RNA
Source: RNAcentral
CCUCCAGCAAGAUAUGUAUUAGAGGCACCGCCUGCCCAAUGAAGCUUGCCUUUUAAUGGCCGCAGUAUAUUGACUGUGCAAAGGUAGCAUAAUCACUUGUCCCCUAAAUAGGGACUGGUAUGAAUGGCAUAACGAGGGCUCUUCUGUCUCUUGUACCAAGUCAAUGAAAUUAACAACCCGGUUAAAAGGCCGAGAUAAAUAAAUAAGACGAGAAGACCCCAUGGAACUUUAAACACGCCUUCCACUAAAUAUUAUUUUCUAAUACUAUAAGAAUAUUUUCGCUGAUAUGCUGUUUUUGGUUGGGGCAACCACGGAGAACAACCAUCCUCCGAGAAUACCAAUUGAGUUAAACAUGACAAAAUCUUCUUUAACAUUAGCAACUGACCCAAUAUAAUUGAUAAACGAACCAAGCUACCCUGGGGAUAACAGCGCAAUCUUUUCUAAAAGUCCAUAUUGACGAGAGGGUUUACGACCUCGAUGUUGGAUCAGGAUAUCCAGACAGUGCAGCCGCCGUCAAAGGUUUGUUUGUUCAACAAUUAAAAUCCUACGUGAUCUGG